GAUGAACGCUGGCGGCGUGCCUAAUACAUGCAAGUCGAGCGAACAGACGAGGAGCUUGCUCCUCUGACGUUAGCGGCGGACGGGUGAGUAACACGUGGAUAACCUACCUAUAAGACUGGGAUAACUUCGGGAAACCGGAGCUAAUACCGGAUAAUAUAUUGAACCGCAUGGUUCAAUAGUGAAAGACGGUUUUGCUGUCACUUAUAGAUGGAUCCGCGCCGCAUUAGCUAGUUGGUAAGGUAACGGCUUACCAAGGCAACGAUGCGUAGCCGACCUGAGAGGGUGAUCGGCCACACUGGAGCUGAAGCACGAUCCAGACUCCUACGGGAGGCAGAAGUAGGGAAUCUUCCGCAAUGGGCGAAAGCCUGACGGAGCAACGCCGCGUGAGUGAUGAAGGUCUUCGGAUCGUAAAACUCUGUUAUUAGGGAAGAACAAAUGUGUAAGUAACUAUGCACGUCUUGACGGUACCUAAUCAGAAAGCCACGGCUAACUACGUG
Molecule: ribosomal RNA, 497 nt
Filed under: uncultured bacterium
Lineage: Bacteria
Description: partial 16S ribosomal RNA
Rfam family: Bacterial small subunit ribosomal RNA
Source: RNAcentral